RNAcentral lists this ribosomal RNA (706 nucleotides) under uncultured bacterium. RNAcentral's name for it is "bacterial SSU rRNA". It matches the Rfam family "Bacterial small subunit ribosomal RNA", at positions 623 to 1406 of the family's 1533-position model. The record is from RNAcentral.
GCAGUGGGUACGGGCAGACUAGAGUGCGGUAGGGGAGAUUGGAAUUCCUGGUGUAGCGGUGGAAUGCGCAGAUAUCAGGAGGAACACCGAUGGCGAAGGCAGAUCUCUGGGCCGAACUGACGCUGAGGAGCGAAAGGGUGGGGAGCAAACAGGCUUAGAUACCCUGGUAGUCCACCCCGUAAACGUUGGGAACUAGUUGUGGGGCCGUGACGCAGCUAACGCAUUAAGUUCCCCGCUUGGGGAGUACGGCCGCAAGGCUAAAACUCAAAGGAAUUGACGGGGACCCGCACAAGCGGCGGAGCAUGCGGAUUAAUUCGAUGCAACGCGAAGAACCUUACCAAGGCUUGACAUACAGGUGGUGCAUGGUUGUCGUCAGCUCGUGUCGUGAGAUGUUGGGUUAAGUCCCGCAACGAGCGCAACCCUCGUUUUAUGUUGCAACUCAUGGGAUACUGCCGGGGUCAACUCGGAGGAAGGUGGGGAUGACGUCAAAUCAUCAUGCCCUUAUGUCUUGGGCUUCACGCAUGCUACAAUGGCCGGUACAAAGGGCUGCAAUACCGUAAGGUGGAGCGAAUCCCAAAAAGCCGGUCCCAGUUCGGAUUGAGGUCUGCAACUCGACCUCAUGAAGUCGGAGUCGCUAGUAAUCGCAGAUCAGCACGCUGCGGUGAAUACGUUCCCGGGUCUUGUACACACCGCCCGUCAAGGGCGA